AAGUCGUAACAAGGUUUCCGUAGGUGAACCUGCGGAAGGAUCAUUACUGAGAUAGGGUCCUCUUUUGGGCCCGACCUCCAACCCACUGUUUACACAUACUGUUGCCUCGGCGGGCCGCCGUCCCCUGGGGACGGCCGUUGGCUUACGCUCUCGAGCGCCCGCCGGUGGAAUACAUCAAACCCUUUUAAAACUAGCCAUCUGAGUGAAUAUUAAAUACUUCAAAACUUUCAACAACGGAUCUCUUGGUUUUGGCAUCGAUGAAGAACGCAGCGAAAUGCGAUAAGUAAUGUGAAUUGCAGAAUUCAGUGAAUCAUCGAAUCUUUGAACGCACAUUGCGCCCUCUGGUAUUCCGGAGGGCAUGCCUGUUCGAGCGUCAUAUAACGACUAUCAAGCACAGCUUGGCCUUAGGCUUUCGUCCCUGCAACGGGGGCGGGCCUUAAAUACUUUGGCGGUGGCGUCGAGCCUCAAGCGUAGUAAAUAUUCCGCUUUCAGAGGUCUCGUGGUCGCUUGCUUCCAGAACCCCAAACUUCUAAGUAUUGACCUCGGAUCAGGUAGGGAUACCCGCUGAACUUAAGCAUAUCAAUAAGCGGAGGAAAAGAAACCAACUGGGAUUGCCCUAGUAACGGCGAGUGAAGCGGCAAUAGCUCAAAUUUGAAAUCUGGCUCCUUCGGGGCCCGAGUUGUAAUUUGUAGAGGGUGUUCCGGUAUUGGGCCCGUGCUAGGUUCCUUGGAACAGGACGUCAUAGAGGGUGAGAACCCCGUCUUCGCCUGGGAUACCUUUACCGUGUGGAACCCCUUCGACGAGUCGAGUUGUUUGGGAAUGCAGCUCUAAGUGGGAGGUAAAUUUCUUCUAAAGCUAAAUACCGGCCAAAGACCGAUAGCGCACAAGUAGAGUGAUCGAAAGAUGAAAAGCACUUCGGAAAGAGAGUUAAAAAGCACGUGAAAUUGUUGAAAGGGAAGCUCUUGCAGCCAGACUUGGCCGCGGUCGUUCAGCAGCCCUUCUGGGCUGUGUAUUCUUCCGCGGACAGGCCAGCAUCAGUUUCGGGGGCCGGAUAAACGUUAGGGGAAUGUGGCUUCGCUUCGGCGGAGUGUUAUAGCCCUUGGUGUCAUGCGGCCACCCGGGACUGAGGACCGCGCUCU
This 1139-nucleotide ribosomal RNA is filed under the name uncultured fungus. RNAcentral's name for it is "eukaryotic LSU rRNA". The stretch from base 538 to 1139 matches the Rfam family "Eukaryotic large subunit ribosomal RNA", at positions 1 to 608 of the family's 3401-position model. The record is from RNAcentral. Lineage: Eukaryota; Fungi.